Long non-coding RNA from Clupea harengus (Atlantic herring), 816 nucleotides. NCBI's taxonomy places the organism in Eukaryota, Metazoa, Chordata, Actinopteri, Clupeiformes, Clupeidae. The record is from Ensembl.
GGUGUUACUGUAGAGUGUGUGUGUGUGAGAGUCCUGGUGUUGCUGGAGUGUGUGUGUAAGAGAGUCCUGGUGUUGCUGGAGUGUGUGUGUGUGUGUGUGUGUGAGAGAGAGUCCUGGUGUUGCUGGAGAGUGUGUGUGAGAGAGUCCUGGUGUUACUGGAGUGUGUGUGAGAGAGUCCUGGUGUUGCUGUAGUGUGUGUUUGUGUGUGUGAGAGAGUCCUGGUGUUGCUGUAGUGUGUGUGUGUGUGUGUGUGUGUGUGUGUGUGUGUGUGUGUGUGUGUGUGUGAGAGAGAGAGUCCUGGUGUUGCUGGAGAGUGUGUGUGAGAGAGUCCUGGUGUUACUGGAGUGUGUGUGAGAGAGUCCUGGUGUUGCUGGAGUGUGUGUGUGAGAUAGUGUGUGUGAGAGAGUCCUGGUGUUGCUGUAGUGUGUGUGUGAGAGAGUCCUGGUGUUACUGGAGAGUGUGUGAGAGAGAGUCCUGGUGUUGCUGUAGUGUGUGUGUGAGAGAGUCCUGGUGUUGCUGGAGUGUAUGUGUGUGUGUGUGUGUGUGUGUGUGUGUGUGUGUGUGUGUGUGUGGUGUGUGUGUGUGAGAGAGAGUCCUGGUGUUACUGGAGUGUGUGUGUGAGAGAGUCCUGGUGUUGCUGUAGUGUGUGUGUGUGAGAGAGUCCUGGUGUUGGUGUAGUGUGUGUGUGUGAGUGAGUCCUGGUGUUACUGGAGUGUGUGUGUGUGAGAGAGUCCUGAUGUUGCUGUAGUGUGUGUGUGUGAUAGAGUCCUGGUGUUACUAAAGUGUGUGUGAGAGAGUCCUGGUGUUGCUGGUGUG